UAGAUGUUCUGGGCCGCACGCGCGCUACACUGAUCAAGUCAACGAGUUUACAACCUUGGCCGGAAGGUCUGGGUAAUCUUUUGAAACUUGAUCGUGCUGGGGAUAGUCCAUUGCAAUUAUUGGACUUCAACGAGGAAUUCCUAGUAAGCGUGAGUCAUCAGCUCGCGUUGAUUACGUCCCUGCCCUUUGUACACACCG
RNAcentral lists this ribosomal RNA (198 nucleotides) under uncultured fungus. Its description in RNAcentral is "partial 18S rRNA". It matches the Rfam family "Eukaryotic small subunit ribosomal RNA", at positions 1474 to 1671 of the family's 1831-position model. Lineage: Eukaryota; Fungi. The record is from RNAcentral.